GGAGGGUGCAAACGUUGCUCGGAUUUACUGGGCGUAAAGCGCAUGCAGGCGGGUCUGCAAAGUUUCGUGUGAAAGCCCUGGGGCUCAACCCAGGAAGUGCACGGAAAACUGGCAGACUAGAGUACUGGAGAAGUGGGCGGAAUUCCCGGUGUAGAGGUGAAAUUCGUAGAUAUCGGGAGGAACACCAGCAGCGAAGGCGGCUCACUUGACAGAUACUGACGCUCAGAUGCGAAAGCGUGGGGAGCAAACAGGAUUAGAUACCCUGGUAGUCCACGCCGUAAACGAUGGGCACUAGGUGUCGGGGGCUUGACCCCUUCGGCGCCGCCGCUAACGCAUUAAGUGCCCCGCCUGGGGACUACGGUCGCAAGACUA
This 372-nucleotide ribosomal RNA is filed under the name uncultured organism. Its description in RNAcentral is "partial 16S ribosomal RNA". It matches the Rfam family "Bacterial small subunit ribosomal RNA", at positions 527 to 896 of the family's 1533-position model. The record is from RNAcentral.